RNAcentral lists this ribosomal RNA (505 nucleotides) under uncultured bacterium. Its description in RNAcentral is "partial 16S ribosomal RNA". It matches the Rfam family "Bacterial small subunit ribosomal RNA", at positions 28 to 507 of the family's 1533-position model. The record is from RNAcentral.
GACGAACGCUGGCGGCGUGCCUAAUACAUGCAAGUAGAACGCACAGUUUAUACCGUAGCUAGCUACACCAUAGACUGUGAGUUGCGAACGGGUGAGUAACGCGUAGGUAACCUGCCUGGUAGCGGGGGAUAACUAUUGGAAACGAUAGCUAAUACCGCAUAAUAUUAAUUAUUGCAUGAUAAUUAAUUGAAAGGUGCAAUUGCACCACUACCAGAUGGACCUGCGUUGUAUUAGCUAGUAGGUGAGGUAACGGCUCACCUAGGCGACGAUACAUAGCCGACCUGAGAGGGUGAUCGGCCACACUGGGACUGAGACACGGCCCAGACUCCUACGGGAGGCAGCAGUAGGGAAUCUUCGGCAAUGGACGAAAGUCUGACCGAGCAACGCCGCGUGAGUGAAGAAGGUUUUCGGAUCGUAAAGCUCUGUUGUAAGAGAAGAACGGGUGUGAGAGUGGAAAGUUCACACUGUGACGGUAUCUUACCAGAAAGGGACGGCUAACUACGUG